This 464-nucleotide ribosomal RNA is filed under the name uncultured bacterium. RNAcentral's name for it is "partial 16S ribosomal RNA". It matches the Rfam family "Bacterial small subunit ribosomal RNA", at positions 28 to 507 of the family's 1533-position model. The record is from RNAcentral.
GAUGAACGCUGGCGGCGUGCUUAACACAUGCAAGUCGAACGGAAAGGCUCCUGCUUGCAGGGGUACUCGAGUGGCGAACGGGUGAGUAACACGUGGGUGAUCUGCCCUGCACUUCGGGAUAAGCCUGGGAAACUGGGUCUAAUACCGGAUAGACGAUGGUUUGGAUGCCAUUGUGGAAAGUUUUUCGGUGUGGGAUGAGCUCGCGGCCUAUCAGCUUGUUGGUGGGGUAAUGGCCUACCAAGGCGUCGACGGGUAGCCGGCCUGAGAGGGUGUACGGCCACAUUGGGACUGAGAUACGGCCCAGACUCCUACGGGAGGCAGCAGUGGGGAAUAUUGCACAAUGGGCGCAAGCCUGAUGCAGCGACGCCGCGUGGGGGAUGACGGCCUUCGGGUUGUAAACUCCUUUCGCUAGGGACGAAGCGCAAGUGACGGUACCUGGAGAAGAAGCACCGGCUAACUACGUG